UAUCCUGGAUUGAAUCUUGAAAAGUUAAAAAAAAGAGGAAACUUUGUGUUCAAAGGACAGGAGUUAGAAAUUCAAUAUCUGGCAUCAUUGGUUUUCUUGGCUUUGUCCAUGAUAAAACUGGUAUUUCUAUUGAUAACAGUA
Molecule: small nucleolar RNA, 141 nt
Organism: Perognathus longimembris pacificus (Pacific pocket mouse)
Lineage: Eukaryota; Metazoa; Chordata; Mammalia; Rodentia; Heteromyidae
Product: small nucleolar RNA SNORA8
Exons: 1
Source: RefSeq, a predicted model, not a curated record